UGACUUCGAAUCAGGUAGGGAUACCCGCUGAACUUAAGCAUAUCAUA
RNAcentral lists this ribosomal RNA (47 nucleotides) under Endoscypha perforans. RNAcentral's name for it is "partial 28S ribosomal RNA". Lineage: Eukaryota; Fungi; Ascomycota; Leotiomycetes; Helotiales; Helotiaceae. The record is from RNAcentral.